Molecule: ribosomal RNA, 292 nt
Filed under: uncultured bacterium
Lineage: Bacteria
Description: partial 16S ribosomal RNA
Rfam family: Bacterial small subunit ribosomal RNA
Source: RNAcentral
GUGCCAGCCGCCGCGGUAAUACGGAGGGUGCAAGCGUUGUCCGGAUUUAUUGGGUUUAAAGGGUGCGAAGGCGGGUUAGUAAGUCAGUGGUGAAAGCCGGCAGCUCAACUGUCGAAUUGCCAUUGAUACUGUUAACCUUGAGUAUAGUUGAGGUAGGCGGAAUGGAAGGUGUAGCGGUGAAAUGCAUAGAUAUCUUCCAGAACACCGAUAGCGUAGGCAGCUUACUAAGCUAUAACUGACGCUGAGGCACGAAAGCGUGGGGAGCGAACAGGAUUAGAAACCCUAGUAGUCC